GCUGAUAUGGCCGAGUCGUUAAGGCGAGUGAUUUGAAUUUAGGUUCCAUUAUCACUUGGGCAUUGCCCGCGUAGGUUCAAAUCCUGCUGUCAGCG
This is a non-coding RNA of Cerrena zonata, 95 nucleotides long. NCBI's taxonomy places the organism in Eukaryota, Fungi, Basidiomycota, Agaricomycetes, Polyporales, Cerrenaceae. The record is from the annotation of a GenBank genome assembly.